RNAcentral lists this ribosomal RNA (574 nucleotides) under Francisella tularensis subsp. holarctica. RNAcentral describes it as "bacterial SSU rRNA". It matches the Rfam family "Bacterial small subunit ribosomal RNA", at positions 402 to 992 of the family's 1533-position model. Lineage: Bacteria; Pseudomonadati; Pseudomonadota; Gammaproteobacteria; Thiotrichales; Francisellaceae. The record is from RNAcentral.
UGAGUGAUGAAGGUUUUCGGAUCGUAAAGCUCUGUCUUCAGGGACGAUAAUGACGGUACCUGAGGAGGAAGCCACGGCUAACUACGUGCCAGCAGCCGCGGUAAUACGUAGGUGGCGAGCGUUGUCCGGAUUUACUGGGCGUAAAGGGAGCGUAGGCGGAUGAUUAAGUGGGAUGUGAAAUACCCGGGCUCAACUUGGGUGCUGCAUUCCAAACUGGUUAUCUAGAGUGCAGGAGAGGAGAGUGGAAUUCCUAGUGUAGCGGUGAAAUGCGUAGAGAUUAGGAAGAACACCAGUGGCGAAGGCGACUCUCUGGACUGUAACUGACGCUGAGGCUCGAAAGCGUGGGGAGCAAACAGGAUUAGAUACCCUAGUAGUCCACGCCGUAAACGAUGGAUACUAGGUGUGGGAGGUAUCAACUCCUUCCGUGCCGCCGUUAACACAUUAAGUAUCCCGCCUGGGGAGUACGGUCGCAAGAUUAAAACUCAAAGGAAUUGACGGGGGCCCGCACAAGCAGCGGAGCAUGUGGUUUAAUUCGAAGCAACGCGAAGAACCUUACCUAGACUUGACAUCUCCU